UGGGGAAUUUUGGACAAUGGGCGCAAGCCUGAUCCAGCCAUGCCGCGUGCGGGAAGAAGGCCUUCGGGUUGUAAACCGCUUUUGUCAGGGAAGAAAUCUUCUGAGUUAAUACCUCGGGAGGAUGACGGUACCUGAAGAAUAAGCACCGGCUAACUACGUGCCAGCAGCCGCGGUAAUACGUAGGGUGCAAGCGUUAAUCGGAAUUACUGGGCGUAAAGCGUGCGCAGGCGGUUUUGUAAGACAGAGGUGAAAUCCCCGGGCUCAACCUGGGAACUGCCUUUGUGACUGCAAGGCUUGAGUGCGGCAGAGGGGGAUGGAAUUCCGCGUGUAGCAGUGAAAUGCGUAGAUAUGCGGAGGGACACCGAUGGCGAAGGCAAUCCCCUGGGCCUGCACUGACGCUCAUGCACGAAAGCGUGGGAGCAAACAGGAUUAGAUACCCUGGUAGUCCACGCCCUAAACGAUGUCAACUAGUUGUUGGGGAUUCAUUUCCUUAGUAACGUAGCUAACGCGUGAAGUUGACCGCCUGGGGAGUACGGUCGCAAGAUUAAAAGCUCAAAGGAAUUGACGGGGUCAUAGCUG
This 579-nucleotide ribosomal RNA is filed under the name uncultured bacterium. RNAcentral describes it as "partial 16S ribosomal RNA". It matches the Rfam family "Bacterial small subunit ribosomal RNA", at positions 355 to 932 of the family's 1533-position model. The record is from RNAcentral.